RNAcentral lists this ribosomal RNA (450 nucleotides) under uncultured bacterium. RNAcentral's name for it is "partial 16S ribosomal RNA". It matches the Rfam family "Bacterial small subunit ribosomal RNA", at positions 354 to 796 of the family's 1533-position model. The record is from RNAcentral.
GUGGGGAAUUUUGGACAAUGGGGGCAACCCUGAUCCAGCCAUGCCGCGUGCGGGAAGAAGGCCUUCGGGUUGUAAACCGCUUUUGUCAGGGAAGAAAUCCUUUGGGUUAAUACCUCGGAGGGAUGACGGUACCUGAAGAAUAAACACCGGCUAACUACGUGCCAGCAGCCGCGGUAAUACGUAGGGUGCGAGCGUUAAUCGGAAUUACUGGGCGUAAAGCGUGCGCAGGCGGUUUUGUAAGAUCGAUGUGAAAUCCCCGGGCUCAAACUGGGAACUGCAUUGGUGACUGCAAGGCUGGAGUGCGGCAGAGGGGGAUGGAAUUCCGCGUGUAGCAGUGAAAUGCGUAGAUAUGCGGAGGAACACCGAUGGCGAAGGCAAUCCCCUGGGCCUGCACUGACGCUCAUGCACGAAAGCGUGGGGAGCAAACAGGAUUAGAAACCCGGGUAGUCC